UACGAAGGGGGCUAGCGUUGUUCGGAAUUACUGGGCGUAAAGCGCGCGCAGGCGGUCUUCCAAGUCAGUGGUGAAAGCCUGGAGCUCAACUCCAGAACUGCCAUUGAAACUGUUAGACUUGAGUACGAGAGAGGUGAGUGGAAUUCCCAGUGUAGAGGUGAAAUUCGUAGAUAUUGGGAAGACCACCAGUGGCGAAGGCGGCUUGCCAGAACGCGCUCGACGGUGAGGGAUGAAAGCUGGGGGAGCAAACCGG
RNAcentral lists this ribosomal RNA (253 nucleotides) under uncultured bacterium. Its description in RNAcentral is "partial 16S ribosomal RNA". It matches the Rfam family "Bacterial small subunit ribosomal RNA", at positions 524 to 776 of the family's 1533-position model. The record is from RNAcentral.